GUGGGGAAUAUUGGGCAAUGGGGGCAACCCUGACCCAGCGACGCCGCGUGAGGGAAGAAGGCCUUAGGGUCGUAAACCUCUGUUGUGUGGGAAGAAGGAAGUGACGGUACCACACGAGGAAGUCCCGGCUAACUACGUGCCAGCAGCCGCGGUAAUACGUAGGGGACGAGCGUUGUCCGGAAUUACUGGGCGUAAAGGGCGCGUAGGCGGUCAUUUAAGUCAGCUGUGAAAUGGUCCGGCUCAACCGGAUCAUGCGGUUGAAACUGGAUGACUGGAGUGCUGGAGAGGCAAGUGGAAUUCCCAGUGUAGCGGUGAAAUGCGUAGAUAUUGGGAAGAACACCGGUGGCGAAGGCGACUUGCUGGCCAGCAACUGACGCUGAGGCGCGAAAGCCAGGGUAGCGAACGGGAUUAGAUACCCCUGUAGUCC
Molecule: ribosomal RNA, 427 nt
Filed under: uncultured bacterium
Lineage: Bacteria
Description: partial 16S ribosomal RNA
Rfam family: Bacterial small subunit ribosomal RNA
Source: RNAcentral